UACGUAGGGGGCAAGCGUUGUCCGGAUUUAUUGGGCGUAAAGCGCACGCAGGCGGUGCGGUAAGUUUCGAGUGACAGGUGGUGGCUUAACUGCCACAGGCCUUGGAAAACUGCCGCACUUGAGGGCUUGAGAGGGACGCGGAAUUCCAGGUGGAGCGGUGAAAUGCGUAGAUAUCAGGAGGAACACCGGUGGCGAAGGCGGCUUCCUGGACACUUACUGACGCUGAGACGCGAAAGCGUGGGGAGCAAACAGG
Molecule: ribosomal RNA, 253 nt
Filed under: uncultured bacterium
Lineage: Bacteria
Description: partial 16S ribosomal RNA
Rfam family: Bacterial small subunit ribosomal RNA
Source: RNAcentral